This 1588-nucleotide long non-coding RNA is filed under the name Nicotiana benthamiana. RNAcentral describes it as "long non-coding RNA (NBEN_LNC027718)". The record is from RNAcentral. Lineage: Eukaryota; Viridiplantae; Streptophyta; Magnoliopsida; Solanales; Solanaceae.
GUUCAGAUUCCAGAGAAGAAGAAGAAGAUCCAGAAAAGGCAGGAAGUUGACAGACAUAAUCCUUAAGAUAAGAGGGAGGAUUAUGCUGUCUUCCAUAUUUUCUGGGAGCAUGAAGAGAUGUGGAAGGAGGAAAAUCAAGAGGAGAAAUAUCAGGAUUGAAGGGAUGAAUGGAAACUGGAUUAGAAGAGGUGGAAGCUGGGGCAGAAGGAGGAGGAGGAGAGGAACAGACAGGUAUAGACAAGUCUGUAUCAGAGGAGGAAUGCUCAAGAGGAGGAACAAAAGGAAAGGAAGAGGGAGUAGGAUGAACAGAAGAUGAUACAGUUUUAAAAGGAAAGUAGGUUUCAUGAAAUAUAACAUCCCUGGAGACAAAGUAUUUUUCGGAAGUGAGAUCAUAAAGUUUAUAACCCUUUUUUGGCAAAAGGAUACCCUAGGAAUACACAGGAAAUGGCUCUACGUUUCAACUUGUCCCUUUGAGGAAUUGGGACAGUAGCAUAGGCAAGGCAUCCAAAUGCCCUCAAAUGAGAGUAGAUUGGUGCCUUUCCAUGCAAAAUUUCAUAAGGAGAUUUAUUAUGAAGGAGUCUGGAUGGUAUUCUAUUAAGAAGAUAGGUGGCUGUUAGUAAGCAGUCCCCCCAGAAAGAGAUGGGUAAGCCAGAUUGAAAGAGUAAAGCUCUACAUNNNNNNNNNNNNNNNNNNNNNNNNNNNNNNNNNNNNNNNNNNNNNNNNNNNNNNNNNNNNNNGUAAAGCUCUACAUGUCUCAAGAAGAGUCCUAUGCUUCCUUUCAACAACACCAUUCUGUUGAGGAGUAUGAGGACAGGUUGUUUGAUGAAUAAUCCCUUGUUUACUAAAGAAAGAUGCACCAUCAAUGCUAGACCCCAAAUCCAAAGCAUUGUCACUUCUAACAGUUUGAACCACAGCAUUAAACUAGGUUUUAGCCAUACACAGAAAUGAUUUAAGCAGGCAGAAAGCAUUGCUUUUAGACCCUAGUAAGUGUGUCCAGGUUGCCGUAGAGAAAUCAUCAACUAUUGUAAGAAAAUAUCUAGAAACAGAAGAAGUAGGAGUGUGAUAGGGGCCCCAAGUAUCCACAUGAAUCAAUUGGAAAGGUCUAGAAGUACUUAUUGUGCUAUCAGGAAAGGAAAGUCUAGUCUGUUUAGCCAUAGGACAGACAGAACAAGGGAAAGGCUGCUUAGAAGCAAAUGGAAAAGACAAUCAAGAAAUGUGUUUCAUGUUUGCAAAUGAAGUAUGAGCUAGUCUCAAAUGCCAAAUGUAAUUCAUGUCAGUUGUAACAACAUUAUUACAGAUGGAACUAUUUACAUUUGAAGGUAAAGCAAAAACUUUAUGGCAACCAGUAGUGGAAGAAUUGUCAUGAUUACAAGAGUCAGACAUAGAGCAUACAAAAGUAGAUGAACAACUAGUAGAGGAAGAAUGGGAAGCUGGAACCCAAGCAAGCUUGUACAGACCAACCUCCUCUUUACCAAGAUCCAGAGGCUUCCUCAGAGAAGGGUCUUGUAUCAUGUGGAAGAAGCAGGAAGUUGCAGUGAACAAUAAUAUGCAAUGCAACUGUUUCACUAACUUGUGGACAGAAAUCAAG